UACGGAGGGAGCGAGCGUUGUCCGAAGUUACUGGGCGUAAAGCGCGUGUAGGCGGUUGCCCAAGUCGGGUGUGAAAGCCUUGAGCUCAACUCAAGAAAUGCACUCGGUACUGGGUGACUAGAGGACCGGAGAGGAUAGUGGAAUUCCCAGUGUAGUGGUGAAAUACGUAGAGAUCCGGAGGAACCCCAGAGGCGAAGGCGGCGUUCUGGCUCGCAACUGACGCUCAGACACGACAGCAUGGGGAGCGAACGGG
RNAcentral lists this ribosomal RNA (253 nucleotides) under uncultured bacterium. Its description in RNAcentral is "partial 16S ribosomal RNA". It matches the Rfam family "Bacterial small subunit ribosomal RNA", at positions 524 to 776 of the family's 1533-position model. The record is from RNAcentral.